Non-coding RNA from Zonotrichia albicollis (white-throated sparrow), 333 nucleotides. Lineage: Eukaryota; Metazoa; Chordata; Aves; Passeriformes; Passerellidae. The record is from RefSeq and is a predicted model, not a curated record.
CUGGCAGCUGCCUGCAGGACGGGCACCGCUACAGCGACAAGGACGUGUGGAAGCCGGAGCCGUGCCGGAUCUGCGUGUGCGACACGGGGACGGUGCUGUGCGACGAGAUCAUGUGCGAAGAGCUGCGGGACUGCCCCAGCCCCGAGAUCCCCUUCGGAGAGUGCUGCCCCAUUUGCCCCACCGAGCAGCCCAGCGGGAAGCCUGGCCCCAAGGGACAGAAAGGUGAACCUGGUGACAUCAAAGAUGUCGUAGGACCCCGAGGACCCCCGGGCCCACAGGGCCCCGCAGGUGAGCAGGGACAGCGAGGGGACCGCGGCGAGAAGGGCGAGAAGG